This 573-nucleotide small RNA is filed under the name Rattus norvegicus (Norway rat). RNAcentral's name for it is "uncharacterized LOC108351754". Lineage: Eukaryota; Metazoa; Chordata; Mammalia; Rodentia; Muridae. The record is from RNAcentral.
UGCUGCAUCGGGAGGAGCAUCCCGGCCCUAGCUCAGCAAUCACAGAGAAUAUAUUUGGAAUGCUCUCGAAAACAAACAGCCUGAAAAACAGUAAAUCAAGAAGCCGGUCACAUAAAAUAUGAAGAACCAAUUAAGAGAAUUUCAGAAAAACAACAACUAAGAACUCCCAACCUGAUGGCAGCUCCCACUUUCUGGGCAUCUGGAAAACGCGUGGAAAGAUUCCAUCUACGGAUGCUUCCCGGGCUGCGUUUACAGCUGUCUCCUGCAUCUCUGAACGAAAUGGAAAUGACCUUUGAGAUGCUCUAAUCAUUCACCUGCCUGUUCAAGUAUGAAGUAGGAUUGAGGUGCAAGCAAGGACAGAGACUGUGUAAGCAUCUGUGGUCCUCCCCACACAGCUGGCAAAGCAGGCUUGAGUGGUAAGACAUAGUCUGCUGCCAAAACAACUCAUCCUCCUCCUUCGUUCCACUGUAUGAACUCCUGCUCCUCUCACAGUGGCAAAGAGGCCAGACAAGGGGUGUGUUGUGACUAGUCUGGUCUAGUCCAGGGCAAUUACAGAAUCUAGAAUCUCUUACA